GAUGAACGCUGGCGGCGUGCCUAAUACAUGCAAGUCGAACGCUUCACUUCGGUGAAGAGUGGCGAACGGGUGAGUAAUACAUAAGUAACCUGGCAUCUACAGGGGGAUAACUGAUGGAAACGUCAGCUAAGACCGCAUAGGUGUAGAGAUCGCAUGAACUCUAUACGAAAAGUGCUACGGGACUGGUAGAUGAUGGACUUAUGGCGCAUUAGCUUGUUGGUAGGGUAACGGCCUACCAAGGCGACGAUGCGUAGCCGACCUGAGAGGGUGACCGGCCACACUGGGACUGAGACUCGGCCCAGACUCCUACGGGAGGCAGCAGUAGGGAGUUUUCGGCAAUGGGGGAAACCCUGACCGAGCAACGCCGCGUGAAGGAAGAAGUAAUUCGUUAUGUAAACUUCUGUCAUAGAGGAAGAACGGUGGAUAUAGGGAAUGAUAUCCAAGUGACGGUACUCUAUAAGAAAGCCACGGCUAACUACGUG
RNAcentral lists this ribosomal RNA (482 nucleotides) under uncultured bacterium. RNAcentral's name for it is "partial 16S ribosomal RNA". It matches the Rfam family "Bacterial small subunit ribosomal RNA", at positions 28 to 507 of the family's 1533-position model. The record is from RNAcentral.